RNAcentral lists this transfer RNA (118 nucleotides) under Candidatus Woesearchaeota archaeon. Its description in RNAcentral is "tRNA-Leu". Lineage: Archaea; Nanobdellati; Candidatus Woesearchaeota. The record is from RNAcentral.
GCGGGGGUGGCAGAGAUUCCGGGCCUUUAGCGGGGCUCGCUACUGCACCUGGCCAAAUGCGCAAGGUCGAGGGCCUUGUCCCUUAGUGGGUGCGCGUGUUCAAAUCACGUCCCCCGCA